CAGCCGCCGCGGGAAUACGGAGGGUGCAAGCGUUAAUCGGAAUUACUGGGCGUAAAGCGCACGCAGGCGGUUUGUUAAGUCAGAUGUGAAAUCCCCGAGCUUAACUUGGGAACUGCAUUUGAAACUGGCAAGCUAGAGUCUUGUAGAGGGGGGUAGAAUUCCCGGAGUAGCGGUGAAAUGCGUAGAGAUCUGGAGGAAUACCGGUGGCGAAGGCGGCCCCCUGGACAAAGACUGACGCUCAGGUGCGAAAGCGUGGGAGCAAACAGGAUUAGAUACCCCUGUAGUCCCUGUCUCUUAUACA
This 301-nucleotide ribosomal RNA is filed under the name uncultured bacterium. RNAcentral's name for it is "partial 16S ribosomal RNA". It matches the Rfam family "Bacterial small subunit ribosomal RNA", at positions 509 to 808 of the family's 1533-position model. The record is from RNAcentral.